UUUUUUUUUUUUUUUUUUUUUUUUUUUGAUAAUAGUCAUCCUGAUAGAUGUGAAGUGAUAUCUUGUGUUUUUUUUCAUUUGUGUUUCCUGUGUGAUUAGUGAUGUUGAAUGUUUUUUUCAUAUAUAGUACCUGUUGGCCAUUUGUAUGUCUUCUACUAAAAAAUGCCUAUUUGGGCCUUUUCCCAUUUUUUAAUCAGGUUAUUUGUUUUCAUGCUAUUGAGUUACUUUUAUAGAGGCUAACUAAAAUUCUUGAUAUUUUAGAAAGACUUCCUUCUGCCUCUCUGAUAAUAUUUUUCUUUUUCUUACAAUUUUUACAUUCCAAACCACAACACAGCUCUCCUUGCAACCAGGAGUGGCCAUGUGAUGGAUUCUGACCAACGAGAUGCAAGCCGAAGUUGCUAAUUGGGACUCCUAAAAUCACUUUUAAAAAGUCAUGGACUCAUGAUCUCUUCACCCUUCUUCUGCCUGUCUCAAAUUGUCCAUCGUCAGAUUUCUUUUUACACAAAAAAAUUAUUUUCAGCUAGGCCAUGUUAAUUUGAUUUUCUGCUACAUGCAGCUGACUGUACUGAUUAUCUAAAACUGCUUUAUAAAGUUUUGUGACUAGGGGGUGGGAGCAAUGAUCACUCAUAUUCGUUAAGUGAAAGGAUAAAUGAUUGAAUUGUGUAUCUUAAUUGUGGUAUAUUCUGUACAACAUUUUUACAAUAAAUUAUGCUGAAUGAGUUUCUUUCUAUUUGAUACCAAAGGCUAACACAUCUGAAAUAACUGUCAGUUUUUCUCCUUGCUAAAAGUACACAGAUUAAAAAAUAAGCCGUUUGGGCCAUGUGCACUGAAAGAAUGGCUAUAACUCUUGCCCUGAUCAGAGGGUUCCACAAACUAGCGUUGAACUCAGUGGGGGCCCAACAGAGAAGAAAAGGAGGAAAUCCAGGAGAUAAAUUAAGGAAUAUUUGGAGAUGGUGAGAUACUUAAAUUUUAUAAAGAUUUUUCAAUUAAAUUGAAUAAAACCCACUUUGUAAUCUCCCCCUAUUAACGAUUGAAAUCCCAUUUCCAACACUUAUUGGGUAUGUCAUCUUAGACAAGGUUGUUUCACCUUCCUGAGGUUACUAUAUUUUUUAGCAUAAAGUCAAUAUUUUACAAUCCAUCUCAUAGUAUUAUUUUUAGGAUGAACUAAAACAAUGGAUGUGAAUUGCCUAGUACUGCGCUUGACACAUAAUAUAAAGUUAGCAGACUUUCAUGCCCUGUCUGCCUCCCUGCUACCCGAUUCCCCACGACUCAUCUGCAUUGACCGAAGAAUGACUUUAAAGACAUCAGUCUAAUCUCUGAAAGCAUUUUUCCUUUUCUUACCUCACAGCCCAGUCACUAUACAAAGAUAUCAUUUCACUGGACAGAGAUAUUAGUGAAAACAAUGCCUCCUCCGACCAAGGUAUAAGUUUCUUGAAGGCAGUAACC
This 1446-nucleotide long non-coding RNA is filed under the name Macaca fascicularis (crab-eating macaque). RNAcentral describes it as "lncRNA (ENSMFAG00000055783.1)". The record is from RNAcentral. Lineage: Eukaryota; Metazoa; Chordata; Mammalia; Primates; Cercopithecidae.